CAGUCGANGAUGAUCAGGAGCUUGCUCCUGUGAUUAGUGGCGAACGGGUGAGUAACACGUGAGUAACCUGCCCCUGACUCUGGGAUAAGCGUUGGAAACGACGUCUAAUACUGGAUAUGAUCACUGGCCGCAUGGUCUGGUGGUGGAAAGAUUUUUUGGUUGGGGAUGGACUCGCGGCCUAUCAGCUUGUUGGUGAGGUAAUGGCUCACCAAGGCGACGACGGGUAGCCGGCCUGAGAGGGUGACCGGCCACACUGGGACUGAGACACGGCCCAGACUCCCUACGGGAAGGCAGCCAGUGGGGAAAUAUUGCCACAAUGGGCGGAAAGCCCUGAUGCAGCAACGCCCGCGUGAAGGGAUGACGGCCUUUCGGGUUGUAAACCUCUUUUAGUAGGGAAGAAGCGAAAGUGACGGUACCUGCAGAAAAAGCACCGGCUAACUACGUGCCAGCAGCCGCGGUAAUACGUAGGGUGCAAGCGUUGUCCGGAAUUAUUGGGCGUAAAGAGCUCGUAGGCGGUUUGUCGCGUCUGCUGUGAAAUCCCGAGGCUCAACCUCGGGCUUGCAGUGGGUACGGGCAGACUAGAGUGCGGUAGGGGAGAUUGGAAUUCCUGGUGUAGCGGUGGAAUGCGCAGAUAUCAGGAGGAACACCGAUGGCGAAGGCAGAUCUCUGGGCCGUAACUGACGCUGAGGAGCGAAAGCGUGGGGAGCGAACAGGAUUAGAUACCCUGGUAGUCCACGCCGUAAACGUUGGGCGCUAGAUGUAGGGACCUUUCCACGGUUUCUGUGUCGUAGCUAACGCAUUAAGCGCCCCGCCUGGGGAGUACGGCCGCAAGGCUAAAACUCAAAGGAAUUGACGGGGGCCCGCACAAGCGGCGGAGCAUGCGGAUUAAUUCGAUGCAACGCGAAGAACCUUACCAAGGCUUGACAUACACCGGAAACGGCCAGAGAUGGUCGCCCCCUUGUGGUCGGUGUACAGGUGGUGCAUGGUUGUCGUCAGCUCGUGUCGUGAGAUGUUGGGUUAAGUCCCGCAACGAGCGCAACCCUCGUUCUAUGUUGCCAGCGCGUUAUGGCGGGGACUCAUAGGAGACUGCCGGGGUCAACUCGGAGGAAGGUGGGGAUGACGUCAAAUCAUCAUGCCCCUUAUGUCUUGGGCUUCACGCAUGCUACAAUGGCCGGUACAAAGGGCUGCGAUACCGUAAGGUGGAGCGAAUCCCAAAAAGCCGGUCUCAGUUCGGAUUGAGGUCUGCAACUCGACCUCAUGAAGUCGGAGUCGCUAGUAAUCGCAGAUCAGCAACGCUGCGGUGAAUACGUUCCCGGGCCUUGUACACACCGCCCGUCAAGUCAUGAAAGUCGGUAACACCCGAAGCCGGUGGCCUAACC
RNAcentral lists this ribosomal RNA (1379 nucleotides) under Curtobacterium oceanosedimentum. RNAcentral describes it as "bacterial SSU rRNA". It matches the Rfam family "Bacterial small subunit ribosomal RNA". The record is from RNAcentral. Lineage: Bacteria; Bacillati; Actinomycetota; Actinomycetes; Micrococcales; Microbacteriaceae.